UACGUAGGGCGCAAGCGUUGUCCGGAAUUAUUGGGCGUAAAGAGCUCGUAGGCGGCCUGUUGCGUCCGCUGUGAAAACCCGGGGCUUAACCCCGGGCUUGCAGUGGAUACGGGCAGGCUGGAGGCAGGCAGGGGAGAACGGAAUUCCCGGUGUAGCGGUGAAAUGCGCAGAUAUCGGGAGGAACACCGGUGGCGAAGGCGGUUCUCUGGGCCUGACCUGACGCUGAGGAGCGAAAGCGUGGGGAGCGAACAGG
This 253-nucleotide ribosomal RNA is filed under the name uncultured bacterium. RNAcentral's name for it is "partial 16S ribosomal RNA". It matches the Rfam family "Bacterial small subunit ribosomal RNA", at positions 524 to 776 of the family's 1533-position model. The record is from RNAcentral.